RNAcentral lists this ribosomal RNA (860 nucleotides) under uncultured bacterium. Its description in RNAcentral is "SSU rRNA". It matches the Rfam family "Bacterial small subunit ribosomal RNA", at positions 524 to 1381 of the family's 1533-position model. The record is from RNAcentral.
UACGGAGGGUGCAAGCGUUACUCGGAAUCACUGGGCGUAAAGAGCGUGUAGGCGGGUAUAUAAGUCAGAAGUGAAAUCCAAUAGCUCAACUAUUGAACUGCUUUUGAAACUGUAUACCUAGAAUGUGGGAGAGGUAGAUGGAAUUUCUGGUGUAGGGGUAAAAUCCGUAGAGAUCAGAAGGAAUACCGAUUGCGAAGGCGAUCUACUGGAACAUUAUUGACGCUGAGACGCGAAAGCGUGGGGAGCAAACAGGAUUAGAUACCCUGGUAGUCCACGCCCUAAACGAUGUACACUAGUUGUUGUGAGGCUCGACCUUGCAGCAAUGCAGUUAACACAUUAAGUGUACCGCCUGGGGAGUACGGUCGCAAGAUUAAAACUCAAAGGAAUAGACGGGGACCCGCACAAGCGGUGGAGCAUGUGGUUUAAUUCGACGAUACACGAAGAACCUUACCUGGACUUGACAUAGUAAGAACUUUCUAGAGAUAGAUUGGUGUCUGCUUGCAGAAACUUAUAUACAGGUGCUGCACGGCUGUCGUCAGCUCGUGUCGUGAGAUGUUGGGUUAAGUCCCGCAACGAGCGCAACCCUCGUCCUUAGUUGCUAACAGUUCGGCUGAGAACUCUAAGGAGACUGCCUACGCAAGUAGGAGGAAGGUGAGGACGACGUCAAGUCAUCAUGGCCCUUACGUCCAGGGCUACACACGUGCUACAAUGGGGUAUACAAAGAGCAGCAAUACGGUGACGUGGAGCAAAUCUCAAAAAUAUCUCCCAGUUCGGAUUGUAGUCUGCAACUCGACUACAUGAAGUUGGAAUCGCUAGUAAUCGUAGAUCAGCUAUGCUACGGUGAAUACGUUCCCGGGUCU